GGCCCGGUGGUGUAACGGUAGCACGAGAGGUUCUGAUCAAGUGUUCUCCUCUAAACCAGGGUUCGAUUCCCUGCCAGGCCU
RNAcentral lists this transfer RNA (81 nucleotides) under Ophiocordyceps unilateralis. It matches the Rfam family "tRNA". Rfam says of the family: Transfer RNA (tRNA) molecules are approximately 80 nucleotides in length. Their secondary structure includes four short double-helical elements and three loops (D, anti-codon, and T loops). Further hydrogen bonds mediate the characteristic L-shaped molecular structure. tRNAs have two regions of fundamental functional importance: the anti-codon, which is responsible for specific mRNA codon recognition, and the 3' end, to which the tRNAs corresponding amino acid is attached (by aminoacyl-tRNA synthetases). tRNAs cope with the degeneracy of the genetic code in two manners: having more than one tRNA (with a specific anti-codon) for a particular amino acid; and 'wobble' base-pairing, i.e. permitting non-standard base-pairing at the 3rd anti-codon position. Lineage: Eukaryota; Fungi; Ascomycota; Sordariomycetes; Hypocreales; Ophiocordycipitaceae. The record is from Rfam by way of RNAcentral.